This 271-nucleotide long non-coding RNA is filed under the name Mytilus galloprovincialis (Mediterranean mussel). The record is from RNAcentral. Lineage: Eukaryota; Metazoa; Mollusca; Bivalvia; Mytilida; Mytilidae.
GCAAUAAAUAAAGGCAACAGUAGUAUACCGCUGUUAAAACUCAUAAAUCCAUUGACAAAAAACAAAAUCGGGGUAACAAACUAAAACUGACGGAAACGCAUAAAUAUAAGAGGAGAACAACGACAAACACUACAAUGUAACUAACACACACAGAAACGGACCAAGCAUCAGACAAAAUCCCACGAGAAUAACAAAUAUAAAAUCAAAACCAAAUACAUGAAUUUGGGAUAGACAAGUACCGUGACACGUCUUAUCGCAAUGUCAAUUUACA